RNAcentral lists this ribosomal RNA (423 nucleotides) under uncultured prokaryote. Its description in RNAcentral is "bacterial SSU rRNA". It matches the Rfam family "Bacterial small subunit ribosomal RNA", at positions 355 to 796 of the family's 1533-position model. The record is from RNAcentral.
UGGGGAAUCUUGGACAAUGGGGGCAACCCUGAUCCAGCGACGCCGCGUGGGUGGUAAGGCCUUCGGGUUGUAAAGCCCUUUCACCGGGGAAGAUGAUGACAUUACCCGGAGACGAAGCGCCGGCUAACUCCGUGCCAGCAGCCGCGGUAAGUCGGAGGGCGCUAGCGUUGUGCGGAAUCACUGGGCGUAAAGGGCGCGUAGGCGGCUGUUUGAGUCGAGGGUGAAAGCCCGGGGCUCAACCCCGGAACGGCCUUCGAGACUGGGCAGCUCGAGUCCGGAAGAGGGUCGCGGAAUUCCCAGUGUAGAGGUGAAAUUCGUAGAUAUUGGGAAGAACACCGGUGGCGAAGGCGGCGACCUGGUCCGGUACUGACGCUGAGGCGCGAAAGCGUGGGGAGCAAACAGGAUUAGAUACCCCGGUAGUCC